Molecule: ribosomal RNA, 481 nt
Filed under: uncultured bacterium
Lineage: Bacteria
Description: bacterial SSU rRNA
Rfam family: Bacterial small subunit ribosomal RNA
Source: RNAcentral
CGCUGGCGGCGUGCCUAAUACACGCAAGUCGAGCGAAUCAAUAGGAGCUUGCUCCUAUUGGUUAGCGGCGGACGGGUGAGUAACACGUGGGCAACCUGCCUGUAAGACUGGGAUAACACCGGGAAACCGGUGCUAAUACCGGAUAAUUCUUUUCCUCUCAUGAGGAAAAGCUGAAAGUCGGUUUCGGCUGACACUUACAGAUGGGCCCGCGGCGCAUUAGCUAGUUGGUGAGGUAACGGCUCACCAAGGCGACGAUGCGUAGCCGACCUGAGAGGGUGAUCGGCCACACUGGGACUGAGACACGGCCCAGACUCCUACGGGAGGCAGCAGUAGGGAAUCUUCCACAAUGGACGAAAGUCUGAUGGAGCAACGCCGCGUGAGCGAUGAAGGCCUUCGGGUCGUAAAGCUCUGUUGUUAGGGAAGAACAAGUACCGGAGUAACUGCCGGUACCUUGACGGUACCUAACCAGAAAGCCACGGCU